CACGUAGGGGGCGAGCGUUGUCCGGAUUUAUUGGGCGUAAAGAGCUCGUAGGCGGCUCAGUAAGUCGGGUGUGAAAACUCCAGGCUCAACCUGGAGACGCCACCCGAUACUGCUGUGGCUAGAGUCCGGUAGGGGAGCAUGGAAUUCCUGGUGUAGCGGUGAAAUGCGCAGAUAUCAGGAGGAACACCAGUGGCGAAGGCGGUGCUCUGGGCCGGAACUGACGCUGAGGAGCGAAAGCGUGGGGAGCGAACAGG
This 254-nucleotide ribosomal RNA is filed under the name uncultured bacterium. Its description in RNAcentral is "partial 16S ribosomal RNA". It matches the Rfam family "Bacterial small subunit ribosomal RNA", at positions 524 to 776 of the family's 1533-position model. The record is from RNAcentral.